RNAcentral lists this ribosomal RNA (452 nucleotides) under Aoridus campbelli. RNAcentral describes it as "eukaryotic LSU rRNA". Lineage: Eukaryota; Metazoa; Arthropoda; Insecta; Hymenoptera; Eulophidae. The record is from RNAcentral.
CCUGAGAAACCCAAAAGAUCGAAUGGGGAGAUUCAUCGUCAGCGACUUUGGCUUCCGUGUGGCUCGCGAUGAUCGGGACCUCGGUCCCGCGUCACGCGGUCGCUGCGGCAUGUCCGGGGUCGUCGGCGUGCACUUCUCCCCUAGUAGGACGUCGCGACCCGUUGGGUGUCGGACCGAUGGCCGUUUGGUCGACUGUCACGUCGCGUUCGCGCGCGCACGGGACAGACCAAUGCGGUCGAACGUCCGACUGCCCGGCGGUAUAGAAAGCUCGAAACUGGGUAUUGAGCCGCAUUAAGUGCGUUCAGGCUCGUCGGCAGGCUAGUCUCGCUCGGAUUUACGGACCUGGUGCCGUUGCCGGGCGCUUGGCGGGCCGUUAGUCGACGAUGUCCUCGGACUGGCUCACUCCUUCACGGGAGAUACCGGUCGGCGACGCUACUGCUUUGGGUACUUUC